CAGAGCUGUUGUUUGGGCAAGGGUGAUCUCUCUGGCCACAAAUCAGUGGUGGGGUGGGUAAGGGGCCAUGCUCAUGCCCUCUAGUGUGAGCCCAGCCCAAGGUCCAGGCCAGGUCGGUGCUGAGCAGAGGUCAGCACAUUUCUUCAUUUCCUUCACUAUAGCCCUGCAAGGCCAGCAUUGUUGUCCCCAAUCUGCAGAUGGUGAAGUCGAGGCUUGGAGAGGUCAGGCAUGGGCUGGCUAAAGUCACGCAACUGGUCAGUUGCCCAGCUGAGUCUGACUCCGGGUUUCCUGGUACCCAGCAUGCCCACUCCACAGUCCACUCUCAGCCUGCACUUUCUCCCCGCCCUCCUGUUCUUUCCCUGUUUCUCUCACUUACCCUACUACCAGCCCCAGUUUCCUCCUCCCAGAGAGUACAGAAGGAAAUCCCUCCUCUCUGAGCAGGCUGCAGAGCGCAGAACUCUCCCAUCACCACGCAGAGGCUUUCCUACACCACCCGGCAGCCUGCAGAUUGGUCUCCAUCCAAGUGCCAAAGGAGAACCCACAGUGCAAUCCAGGAAGACCAUGACCAAUCGUCUGUGCUCCUCUCUCUGUGCCUAACAUUGUCAUCUCCCAUAUGCACCACCAGCCCACCUUUUGAGAAAGAAUUCAAACUUCACUUCCUGGCCAGGCUGGUCUCGAACUCCUGACCUGAAACCACACUUCCUUCAUAAGGCUUGCUGUGACCCCACCACACCCACCAGGCCAGACCACCAUCACCUCUCACUGGACCCUGCUCCGGCCACCUCCCUGAUCUUUCUGCCUCUGGGCUCGCUCCAUGCAGCCCCUUCUCCACACAGCAGCAGCCAGGGGCAGUUUCUGGAGCCCACAGCUGAAUGCGUUGUUCUCCUUGCUCAGGCAGAGAAGAGGACAGAUGGGGCUUUGGUCUCCUGUGUGUAGCCAGAGGGACUGCCUUGCCCGUUACCAUCUCCAGUAGUUCCUGACACCACAGCUGCUGAUGGCAAAUGCCCCCAGCCCCAGCCAUGCCCCAGCCCCCUGCAUUGAGAGACCCAGCUCACCCAGAGGGCAGCUACAGCCUCCUUCAUCCACAGCCGCUGCUGUGACUCAGAGGGACCUUGUCCUGGAAGGCCAGUGGAGCCCUCCUGAGGCCUUCACAGGCCCAGUGUCCAUCCUGGUCAUGACAAGUGUAAUAACACAGCUCUUGCAUUAAAUACUAUUUAUUGCAGCAGCAGUUUUUCUUAAGUUUGUUGUAAUUUUGAAUUUUGU
Cercocebus atys (sooty mangabey) is the source of this 1263-nucleotide long non-coding RNA. RefSeq lists it as uncharacterized. The transcript has 3 exons. The record is from RefSeq and is a predicted model, not a curated record. NCBI's taxonomy places the organism in Eukaryota, Metazoa, Chordata, Mammalia, Primates, Cercopithecidae.